RNAcentral lists this long non-coding RNA (722 nucleotides) under Chrysemys picta bellii (western painted turtle). Its description in RNAcentral is "lncRNA (ENSCPBG00000021624.1)". The record is from RNAcentral. Lineage: Eukaryota; Metazoa; Chordata; Testudines; Emydidae.
CCUAGCGGGUUGUUUCUGGAGGCCCUGGGGGAAGAGUAGAUUUGCAAAGUAGCUCUCAAAACUAUUCUAGGUGCUUUCCAGAGCAAAUGGAUAGGUGCAUGAAGUUAAUUAUUCCCUGGAGAAAGGAAUCUUCUGUCAUUCAUCAACACAAUUAUUUUUAAAUCAUUUAUCACACAUUUGACUACAGCCUGUAAGUUUCAUAUGCAUUUCUUUCUUUGAGUUUGCAAUUAAUCUACUAGAAGGCUAAAAAGACUAUGAUUGUUGGUUUAAAAAAUCAGCAAAUUAGAAAUAUUAUCCAUUCCUUUUGUCUGGAAAUGAGAUGAGGUGAACCAUCAGUGGCAAAUUUUGAAAAGCCAAAUGUGUGAUGGUCAAAGGUCUGUGGUUAAGUUGAGUAUUUAGAGGAAGUUCAGAGAUGAGUGAUGAAGAUGAUUAGGGGCAUGGAAAAGUUCUAAUGUGAAGAGAGAUUGAAAAGAUUGGGAUUAAUUACUUUAGGGAGGAGAUGAGCAGAAGGGAUCAGAGUAUACAAAAUGAUGAAUGGUACUGAGAAGUUGGAUUGAGAAUGUCUGUUCUUCCUGUCUCAUAACACAAGAGGAAUAGGACAUUCAAUUAAAUAGGAAGGCAGCAAAUUAAAAAUGUAUACCAGGAAAUAUUUUUUUCACACAACGCAUAAUUAGAUUGUGGAACUCAUUGCCACAGACUAGCCAAAAACUUAGUAAGAUUCA